RNAcentral lists this ribosomal RNA (301 nucleotides) under uncultured bacterium. RNAcentral describes it as "partial 16S ribosomal RNA". It matches the Rfam family "Bacterial small subunit ribosomal RNA", at positions 509 to 807 of the family's 1533-position model. The record is from RNAcentral.
CAGCAGCCGCGGUAAUACAGAGGGUGCGAGCGUUAAUCGGAUUUACUGGGCGUAAAGCGUGCGUAGGCGGCUUCUUAAGUCGGAUGUGAAAUCCCUGAGCUUAACUUAGGAAUUGCAUUCGAUACUGGGAAGCUAGAGUAUGGGAGAGGAUGGUAGAAUUCCAGGUGUAGCGGUGAAAUGCGUAGAGAUCUGGAGGAAUACCGAUGGCGAAGUCAGCCAUCUGGCCUAAUACUGACGCUGAGGUACGAAAGCAUGGGGAGCAAACAGGAUUAGAUACCCCUGUAGUCCCUGUCUCUUAUAC